RNAcentral lists this ribosomal RNA (440 nucleotides) under uncultured bacterium. RNAcentral describes it as "bacterial SSU rRNA". It matches the Rfam family "Bacterial small subunit ribosomal RNA", at positions 958 to 1397 of the family's 1533-position model. The record is from RNAcentral.
AACGCGAAGAACCUUACCUGGGCUCGAACGACUAGUGGUAGGAGGGAUGAAAGUCCCGACGACCCGCAAGGGAGCUAGCCGAGGUGCUGCAUGGUUGUCGUCAGCUCGUGUCGUGAGAUGUUGGGUUAAGUCCCGCAACGAGCGCAACCCCUAUCCUGUGUUGCUACCCGCAAGGGAGGACUCUCAGGAGACUGCCGCGGAUAACGUGGAGGAAGGUGGGGCUGACGUCAAAUCAUCAUGGCCUUUAUGUCCAGGGCCACACACGUGCUACAAUGGCGCGUACAACGGGAUGCAAUAGCGCAAGCUGGAGCCAAUCCUUCAAAGCGCGCCUCAGUUCAGAUUGUGGGCUGCAAUUCGCCCACAUGAAGGCGGAAUCGCUAGUAAUCGCAGAUCAGCAGGCUGCGGUGAAUACGUUCCCGGGCCUUGUACACACCGGCUAC